AAUCCAUGAGUCGGACACUUCUGAAUUAAGUCUUUAAAUUGUUCCCAAACUUUAUAUAGUGUUUCAUCAUCCAAUUGCUUAAAAGAAGUGGUGUCAUUUCUAAGCUU
Gossypium arboreum is the source of this 107-nucleotide non-coding RNA. The record is from Rfam. NCBI's taxonomy places the organism in Eukaryota, Viridiplantae, Streptophyta, Magnoliopsida, Malvales, Malvaceae.